UGGAAAGAUGAAUCAAAGAAGGUAAUAAUCCUGUAGUCGAAAAUGUUGUCUCUCUUGAGUGGAUCCUGAGUACGACGGAGCACGUGAAAUUCCGUCGGAAUCUGGGAGGACCAUCUCCUAAGGCUAAAUACUCUCUAGUGACCGAUAGUGAACCAGUACCGUGAGGGAAAGGUGAAAAGCACCCCGGAAGGGGAGUGAAAUAGAACCUGAAACCGUGUGCUUACAAGUAGUCAGAGCCCGUUAAUGGGUGAUGGCGUGCCUUUUGUAGAAUGAACCGGCGAGUUACGAUUUGAUGCAAGGUUAAGCAGUAAAUGUGGAGCCGUAGCGAAAGCGAGUCUGAAUAGGGCGUUUAGUAUUUGGUCGUAGACCCGAAACCAGGUGAUCUACCCUUGGUCAGGUUGAAGUUCAGGUAACACUGAAUGGAGGACCGAACCGACUUACGUUGAAAAGUGAGCGGAUGAACUGAGGGUAGCGGAGAAAUUCCAAUCGAACCUGGAGAUAGCUGGUUCUCUCCGAAAUAGCUUUAGGGCUAGCCUCAAGUGAUGAUUAUUGGAGGUAGAGCACUGUUUGGACGAGGGGCCCCUCUCGGGUUACCGAAUUCAGACAAACUCCGAAUGCCAAUUAAUUUAACUUGGGAGUCAGAACAUGGGUGAUAAGGUCCGUGUUCGAAAGGGAAACAGCCCAGACCACCAGCUAAGGUCCCAAAAUAUAUGUUAAGUGGAAAAGGAUGUGGCGUUGCCCAGACAACUAGGAUGUUGGCUUAGAAGCAGCCAUCAUUUAAAGAGUGCGUAAUAGCUCACUAGUCGAGUGACACUGCGCCGAAAAUGUACCGGGGCUAAACAUAUUACCGAAGCUGUGGAUUGUCCUUUGGACAAUGGUAGGAGAGCGUUCUAAGGGCGUUGAAGCAUGAUCGUAAGGACAUGUGGAGCGCUUAGAAGUGAGAAUGCCGGUGUGAGUAGCGAAAGACGGGUGAGAAUCCCGUCCACCGAUUGACUAAGGUUUCCAGAGGAAGGCUCGUCCGCUCUGGGUUAGUCGGGUCCUAAGCUGAGGCCGACAGGCGUAGGCGAUGGAUAACAGGUUGAUAUUCCUGUACCACCUAUAAUCGUUUUAAUCGAUGGGGGGACGCAGUAGGAUAGGCGAAGCGUGCGAUUGGAUUGCACGUCUAAGCAGUAAGGCUGAGUAUUAGGCAAAUCCGGUACUCAUUAAGGCUGAGCUGUGAUGGGGAGAAGACAUUGUGUCUUCGAGUCGUUGAUUUCACACUGCCGAGAAAAGCCUCUAGAUAGAAAAUAGGUGCCCGUACCGCAAACCGACACAGGUAGUCAAGAUGAGAAUUCUAAGGUGAGCGAGCGAACUCUCGUUAAGGAACUCGGCAAAAUGACCCCGUAACUUCGGGAGAAGGGGUGCUCUUUAGGGUUAACGCCCAGAAGAGCCGCAGUGAAUAGGCCCAAGCGACUGUUUAUCAAAAACACAGGUCUCUGCUAAACCGUAAGGUGAUGUAUAGGGGCUGACGCCUGCCCGGUGCUGGAAGGUUAAGAGGAGUGGUUAGCUUCUGCGAAGCUACGAAUCGAAGCCCCAGUAAACGGCGGCCGUAACUAUAACGGUCCUAAGGUAGCGAAAUUCCUUGUCGGGUAAGUUCCGACCCGCACGAAAGGCGUAACGAUUUGGGCACUGUCUCAACGAGAGACUCGGUGAAAUCAUAGUACCUGUGAAGAUGCAGGUUACCCGCGACAGGACGGAAAGACCCCGUGGAGCUUUACUGUAGCCUGAUAUUGAAAUUCGGCACAGCUUGUACAGGAUAGGUAGGAGCCUUUGAAACGUGAGCGCUAGCUUACGUGGAGGCGCUGGUGGGAUACUACCCUAGCUGUGUUGGCUUUCUAACCCGCACCACUUAUCGUGGUGGGAGACAGUGUCAGGCGGGCAGUUUGACUGGGGCGGUCGCCUCCUAAAAGGUAACGGAGGCGCUCAAAGGUUCCCUCAGAAUGGUUGGAAAUCAUUCAUAGAGUGUAAAGGCAUAAGGGAGCUUGACUGCGAGACCUACAAGUCGAGCAGGGUCGAAAGACGGACUUAGUGAUCCGGUGGUUCCGCAUGGAAGGGCCAUCGCUCAACGGAUAAAAGCUACCCCGGGGAUAACAGGCUUAUCUCCCCCAAGAGUUCACAUCGACGGGGAGGUUUGGCACCUCGAUGUCGGCUCAUCGCAUCCUGGGGCUGUAGUCGGUCCCAAGGGUUGGGCUGUUCGCCCAUUAAAGCGGUACGCGAGCUGGGUUCAGAACGUCGUGAGACAGUUCGGUCCCUAUCCGUCGUGGGCGUAGGAAAUUUGAGAGGAGCUGUCCUUAGUACGAGAGGACCGGGAUGGACAUACCUCUGGUGUACCAGUUGUCGUGCCAACGGCAUAGCUGGGUAGCUAUGUGUGGACGGGAUAAGUGCUGAAAGCAUCUAAGCAUGAAGCCCCCCUCAAGAUGAGAUUUCCCAACUUCGGUUAUAAGAUCCCUCAAAGAUGAUGAGGUUAAUAGGUUCGAGGUGGAAGCAUGGUGACAUGUGGAGCUGACGAAUACUAA
RNAcentral lists this ribosomal RNA (2555 nucleotides) under Staphylococcus aureus. RNAcentral's name for it is "partial 23S ribosomal RNA". It matches the Rfam family "Bacterial large subunit ribosomal RNA", at positions 343 to 2904 of the family's 2925-position model. Lineage: Bacteria; Bacillati; Bacillota; Bacilli; Caryophanales; Staphylococcaceae. The record is from RNAcentral.